RNAcentral lists this ribosomal RNA (468 nucleotides) under uncultured bacterium. RNAcentral's name for it is "partial 16S ribosomal RNA". It matches the Rfam family "Bacterial small subunit ribosomal RNA", at positions 28 to 507 of the family's 1533-position model. The record is from RNAcentral.
GACGAACGCUGGCGGCGUGCUUAACACAUGCAAGUCGAACGGAAAGGCCCUGCUUUUGUGGGGUGCUCGAGUGGCGAACGGGUGAGUAACACGUGAGUAACCUGCCCUUGACUUUGGGAUAACCUCAGGAAACUGGGGCUAAUACCGGAUAGGAGCUCCUGCUGCAUGGUGGGGGUUGGAAAGUUUCGGCGGUUGGGGAUGGACUCGCGGCUUAUCAGCUUGUUGGUGGGGUAGUGGCUUACCAAGGCUUUGACGGGUAGCCGGCCUGAGAGGGUGACCGGCCACAUUGGGACUGAGAUACGGCCCAGACUCCUACGGGAGGCAGCAGUGGGGAAUAUUGCACAAUGGGCGGAAGCCUGAUGCAGCAACGCCGCGUGCGGGAUGACGGCCUUCGGGUUGUAAACCGCUUUCGCCCGUGACGAAGCGUGAGUGACGGUAAUGGGUAAAGAAGCACCGGCUAACUACGUG